Molecule: long non-coding RNA, 3518 nt
Organism: Lagenorhynchus albirostris (white-beaked dolphin)
Lineage: Eukaryota; Metazoa; Chordata; Mammalia; Artiodactyla; Delphinidae
Exons: 3
Source: RefSeq, a predicted model, not a curated record
CCCACCCUAGGGUCAGAGGUCCCUUGACUUAGGCCUGGUCUUCUGGGAGGCCGAGGGUGACAGGCUCAACCUCUGGCAGGCUCAAGGGAGGUGGCUGGGCCCUGGGCUUCCUGGAGACGGCAGGGCCUCCGCAGGGGAAUGCGGGAGGGGUCAGAACCAGGCAGGCCAAGGAACCCGCAGGGAGGCCCUGGGCCGGGAAUGGCAAACCGCCCAUCCUCCUGGGCCCUGGCCCAUGCCGACCCCCUCCCUCCAGGCUCCAGCCAGCCCCCACAAGAGGGGGAGGACAGACUCGGGGUGGCCAGAGACAAGUCUGUGGGGCUCGAAAGGUAGUACCUCCCUCGUGCGCUCCCCUCCCAGUCGGGCUGGGCUGACAGUGACUCCCGGGAGAUUUCGAACCCGGGAAGGAGGGUGUAAGGGAGGUGGGGGAUGGGUGUGGACGCCACGGCAGCUGCAACAGAAGCAACGGAAGCGGGACGAGCGACCUCCACCCACCUCCCGCCGGGAAGCACUCGGACGCCCACCUCCUCCAGAUUCACAAGCAUUUCCUGGCGCUGAGAAUGUGACAAUUCAGGAGUCUACUAGUAGGACCACUUCGUUACCGUCAAGGAGUUCCCAGUACUGACAGGCCAACAGACAAGCGCCAAGAGAUAACUGAUAAAAGUGAAGAAGUGGUGUACAAGGUCCACAGGAAGCAGAAAAGAGGGAAGGCCUAAUGAGACUUCACAGAGCUGGGACCUUAGGCAGAAGGAACAGCAUGGACAAAGGAGAGCUGGCUUCCGUGGGCUCCGUCAAGGCAAGAAGCUACGCCUGCCUCAUGCAGAGGCAAAGCCGUGACCUUCCAGAUAAGCCCUGUGUUCUCCUCAAGGGGCCUGAGACCCCACCCACCCAAAGCUGUCCUUGGGAGGACACCUGCAUCAGAGGCAUCAUGCGUUGGAAACCUCCCUUCUUGGAUGGCUGAGUUUAUCACGAGGACAAGGCAUUGCCCUGGGAGACCCAGGUUCUAGGGACAGACUGGCCUCUGAUUUGGGGCAAGUCCUCCCCAUCCAGGCCUCAGUUUCCCCUCCUGUGUACCGAAGGGUUGCAUCUGGUGAUCUCCUGCAGCUCUGACUUCGUGUGCACAGGUGGAGGCCCUGGGCAUGGGGAGGGUGGGCAGCUGCCAACGGACUCCAACUUCUGUCCCCCCGGGACCAGGGAGCUUCCAUUUACUGAGCACCUACUAUGUGCCCGAUACUUUAUUAUUGUUAUUGAUGAUGAUACUGAUAUUUACUGGACACUUACUAUGCACAAACAUUUUUAAUGUCAGAUUAAAGUCUCUUCUCUUUACUGCAACAGUUUGCUCUAAGGGGAUUUCUAAGGAAGCUUGUUUGUUUGUUUCCACCAUGAUGGUGGCAGAAGUCUUGGUGCUGAUGGUUUGGUGGCUUUUUGGCUUUUGUGGUUUUAGUGGUGGUGGUGACCCAACCGAGAGGCCAUUGAGAGCUGGAGGACCUCACUCUUGUGGCUUGAGGCAGCCGGUACAUAGGGCUUCCUCGACCACACCACAGGGGUUAAUUGGCUGGUCUCCUGACCUUGAAGGUCAUGGGUCUGGGCUUCGCAAUUCAGAAUCUCUCUGGAGCAGGCAGAUGCAAAACCAAGUUCAUGACAUGAAUUGGUCAAGGAACCUGGGAUCCCUGCAAACUAUCUGGUGCCUUCCUCCAGGAAGGCAUAUUUCCUCCAGAAAUGUGGCACAUAUUUCUUUCCUCCUUGGUCCUUGGUCUUGCAAUGUUCUGUCUGGUGGGGCACAGAUGUUAAACAGCGUGAUGAGAGUUACUAGGAGGGAUGUGCAGGUGUGAUGCAGGUGCACAGCAGAGGAGCCCUCCUCACCUGAGUGCUCAGACCCUGCAGGAGGAGAGAUGCCUGGGAUAGUAGGAGCAGAGGCCCUGGAGCUGGAAGGGGUUGAGCUUUGGGAGAAGCAGAAAGAGGCUAGGAUGGGCUGAGGGGCAGGGCAUGCGGGGCAGUCUUGGGAGCAGAGGUCAGUGACCAGAGCCUGCAGGGCCUCCUGUGUCCACCUCAGGGCAGAGGGACCCUGCUCUUUGAGGGUUUCACCAACGCCUCAGCUGUGUGUUUGCAUUUUUAAAAAAAUAUUUAUUUUUUGGCUGCGUUGGGUCUUCGCUGCUGCACGCAGGGCUUCUCUAGUUGCGGCGAGCAGGGGCUACUCUUCAUUGCAGUGUGCGGGCUUUGCGUUGCAGUGGCUUCUCUUGUUGUGGAGCACAGGAUCAAGGUGCACAGGCAUCAGUAGUUGUGGCGCACAGGCUCAGUAGUUGCGGCUUGCGGGCUCUAGAGCACAGGCUCAGUAGUUGUGGCGCACGGGUUUAGUUGCUCUGUGUAUGUGGGAUCAUCCCGGACCAGGGAUCAAACCUGUGUCCCCUGCGUUGGCAGGCAGAUUCUUAACCACUGUAACACCAGGGAAGUCCCUGUGUUUGCUUUUUUUUUUUUUUUGUGGUACGCGGGCCUCUCACUGUUGUGGCCUCUCCUGUUGCGCUCCGGACGCGCAGGCCCAGCGGCCAUGGCUCAUGGGCCUAGCCGUCCCGCCGCGGCAUGUGGGAUCUUCCUGGACCAGGGCACGAACCCGUGUCCCCUGCAUCGGCAGGCGGACUCUCAACCACUGUGCCACCAGGGAAGCCCUGUGUUUGCAUUUUUAAAAGAUCACUUCUUCCUGUUGAUGGAGAAUUGACUGGCUUUUUGUCCUCCAGGAAGCUGCAAUGGCCUUUCCCAAAUCCCCAGGCUAGAUCACUGCCCUCUGCAGUGCCCCUCAGUGGGCCCUCUUCUCAGCUUUGUAGCAUUGACUACCUGCUUUGUGCAAGUUUCCUGGUCUGCCACUGGAGGCUGAACCAUGGUGUUCAGAUGUUGGUUGAAUGACUGAGUGAUGUGAAUUUUAAUAAAUAAUAAUAAUAAUAAUAGUUAACACCGAUAUAGGCUUUACCAUAUGCCAGACACUGUCCUAAGCACUUUACAUGUCUUAAGUGUCAUUUAAUCCUUGUAAUAUAUUUCCAAGGUAUGUAUCAUUAUUCUCUCCAUUUUGCAGAAAAGGAACUGAAGGGGAUUCCAUGAGGGAACUCAGCCACCAGACCCUGCGUAGGAGAGGAAGGAUUCAGGAUGCCAUUGUAUCAUUCUCACCCAAUUUAUUUUAACAGCUUCUGGGUUAGAGUCCUGGCCUCACUCCUGCCCAGCUGUGUGACCUUAAGUAAAGGUCAUAUAACUUUCUGAGCCUCAGUUUCCUGAUCUCUAAAAUGAGAGGCUCACCUCACUUGUGAUGCUAAACAGAGAAGAAGAAAAGCUCAUCACUUAGCGCAGUGCUUUGGCCCCAGGCACACUUGCACUCACUGGCAGUGAGAUGAAUAUUUUUUUCUCUGACUCCUGAAACAGGCUGUGUAGUACUGGCUCUCCCCUGCUGUCCUCUAAGUCCAGCUUCCUGAGGCUUUUGUCUGUUCCUGAGCCUACAGUUUCACAAUGGCUUGUGAACAGUAACCCUCCUCCAUCCA